AUUGAACGCUGGCGGUAGGCCUAACACAUGCAAGUCGAACGCGAAAGUCCUUCGGGAUGAGUAGAGUGGCGGACGGGUGAGUAACGCGUAGGAAUCUAUCCUGUAGUGGGGGAUAACGUUUCGAAAGGAACGCUAAUACCGCAUACGCCCCAAGGGGGAAAGCGGGGAGUCUUCGGACCUCGUGCUAUAGGAGGAGCCUGCGUCGGAUUAGCUAGUUGGUGAGGUAAAGGCUCACCAAGGCGACGAUCCGUAGCUGGUCUGAGAGGAUGAUCAGCCACACCGGAACUGAGACACGGUCCGGACUCCUACGGGAGGCAGCAGUGGGGAAUAUUGCGCAAUGGGCGAAAGCCUGACGCAGCCAUACCGCGUGUGUGAAGAAGGCC
This 383-nucleotide ribosomal RNA is filed under the name uncultured bacterium. RNAcentral describes it as "bacterial SSU rRNA". It matches the Rfam family "Bacterial small subunit ribosomal RNA", at positions 30 to 416 of the family's 1533-position model. The record is from RNAcentral.